Molecule: ribosomal RNA, 328 nt
Filed under: uncultured Lachnospiraceae bacterium
Lineage: Bacteria; Bacillati; Bacillota; Clostridia; Lachnospirales; Lachnospiraceae
Description: bacterial SSU rRNA
Rfam family: Bacterial small subunit ribosomal RNA
Source: RNAcentral
GAUGAACGCUGGCGGCGUGCCUAACACAUGCAAGUCGAACGGAAAUGUUUUGAUGAAGAUUUCGGUUGGAUUCAUUUCAUUUUAGUGGCGGACGGGUGAGUAACACGUGGGUAACCUGCCCUGUACCGGGGGAUAACACUUAGAAAUAGGUGAUAAUACCGCAUAAGCGCACACUGACGCAUGUCAGAGUGUGAAAAACUCCGGUGGUACAGGAUGGACCCGCGUCUGAUUAGCUUGUUGGCGGGGUAACGGCCCACCAAGGCGACGAUCAGUAGCCGGCCUGAGAGGGUGAACGGCCACAUUGGGACUGAGACACGGCCCAGACUCC